AUUGAACGCUGGCGGCAUGCUUUACACAUGCAAGUCGAACGGUAACAGGCCUUCGGGUGCUGACGAGUGGCGAACGGGUGAGUAAUGCAUCGGAACGUGCCCAGAGGUGGGGGAUAACGCAGCGAAAGCUGUGCUAAUACCGCAUGUGAUCUGAGGAUCAAAGCGGGGGACCAGGCAGCAAUGUUUGGCCUCGCGCCUUUGGAGCGGCCGAUGUCAGAUUAGGUAGUUGGUGGGGUAAAGGCCUACCAAGCCGACGAUCUGUAGCUGGUCUGAGAGGACGACCAGCCACACUGGGACUGAGGCACGGCCCAGACUCCUACGGGAGGCAGCAGUGGGGAAUUUUGGACAAUGGGCGCAAGCCUGAUCCAGCAAUGCCGCGUGCGGGAAGAAGGCCUUCGGGUUGUAAACCGCUUUUGUACGGAACGAAAAGGCUCUGGCUAAUACCUGGGGCUGAUGACGGUACCGUAAGAAUAAGCACCGGCUAACUACGUG
RNAcentral lists this ribosomal RNA (492 nucleotides) under uncultured bacterium. RNAcentral describes it as "partial 16S ribosomal RNA". It matches the Rfam family "Bacterial small subunit ribosomal RNA", at positions 30 to 507 of the family's 1533-position model. The record is from RNAcentral.